This 611-nucleotide ribosomal RNA is filed under the name uncultured bacterium. RNAcentral describes it as "bacterial SSU rRNA". It matches the Rfam family "Bacterial small subunit ribosomal RNA", at positions 338 to 949 of the family's 1533-position model. The record is from RNAcentral.
CCUACGGGAGGCAGCAGUAAGGAAUAUUGGUCAAUGGGCGCAAGCCUGAACCAGCCAUGCCGCGUGCAGGAAGACGGCCCUAUGGGUUGUAAACUGCUUUUGAACAAGAGAAAACCUCGGUACGUGUACCGAGCUGAUAGUAUUGUUAGAAUAAGCAUCGGCUAACUUCGUGCCAGCAGCCGCGGUAAGACGAAGGAUGCAAGCGUUAUCCGGAUUCAUUGGGUUUAAAGGGUGCGUAGGCGGCCUGAUAAGUCAGUGGUGAAAUCUCUCAGCUUAACUGAGAAACUGCCAUUGAUACUGUCGGGCUUGAGUACAGAUGAUGUGGGCGGAAUAUGACAUGUAGUGGUGAAAUACUUAGAUAUGUCAUAGAACACCGAUUGCGAAGGCAGCUCACAAAACUGUAACUGACGCUGAGGCACGAAAGUGCGGGGAUCAAACAGGAUUAGAUACCCUGGUAGUCCGCACCGUAAACGAUGAUUACUCGUUGUUGGCAAUAUGACCGUCAGCGACCAAGCGAAAGCGANAAGUAAUCCACCUGGGGAGUACGCCGGCAACGGUUGAAACUUAAAUGAAUUGACCGGNGNGAGAGNGCGAGACGACACGAGGGAGAG